Molecule: long non-coding RNA, 889 nt
Organism: Micropterus salmoides (largemouth bass)
Lineage: Eukaryota; Metazoa; Chordata; Actinopteri; Centrarchiformes; Centrarchidae
Exons: 3
Source: RefSeq, a predicted model, not a curated record
AGCUGAAGAGUCGUGUUGCUGUGUGACAUCAUGCCGUAAAGUAAUAUGCCAUUGUCAUGGUAAAUGUCCUGCCCAGGAUUCUAGUGUUUGCUGCGGGCCCAAACUGGCAUUGACAGAGACGCCAUUCACCCUAUUACAAGUCAGUGUACCAUCAAAAAGAUUUUCAAGCUGUUUUUUCAAGAUAUAAUUACUACAUAAUGUUGCUUCAGUAUUCUGGUGCCCGCAUCUCAAGUCAACCUGCAACUACUCAACGUUUCAACUCAAACCAUCUCUGCUCACAUUUCCACCAGACUGCUGUUCUCCUAAAAACAUCUUUACUGAGUCUGUGUCCACCCUUGGCAUGACUAAAUGGAUAAACAAAUGAAGGUGGAUGAAUUCGACUGUCUCCUGUAAUAGAGUGACAAGAUUGUGCUGAUGCAUUUUCUACCACCAGAUGUCAGCAUCAACCAAUACCUUCACCUGUGAUCAGACUGUAGAUGCUUGAUAAUGAUAGACUGACCUUCUCAAUAUCACAAUGACAUAUCUAUGAUUCAUCCAGGACAGACCAGUGUAGCUGUAGCAGAAUUACAAUGUAGAGAAGCAGAAUUACAAUAUACAAAGGCAGCAAAGUUGCAACUCUACAAACUACAAGAAACUUAAAAGGACAGAAUGUGAUAUACAGUCUGCAAAUGAAAUAUAGCAUUUUUUUUGAAAAGUUACUUUAGGACUGAAAAUUGCUAUAUAUAUAUAUAUAUAUGCAUUCACAAAUAUUCCCUUACAAAUUAAGUUCUUCUGCUCUCACUAUAAUACGUGUGGGAAGAAACUGUGACAUUGUGAGAACAGUAGUGUUAAAGAUAGCGAUAGAAAUAAAAAAGCAAAUUUUAAUGGUGAAAUGUAACUAAGUACUCUU